UACGGAGGAUCCGAGCGUUAUCCGGAUUUAUUGGGUUUAAAGGGUGCGCAGGCGGGAGAUUAAGUCGGCGGUGAAAUUUUGCAGCUCAACUGUAAAAGUGCCUUCGAAACUGGUUUCCUUGAGUGUAGAUGAAGUAGUCGGAAUUUGUGGUGUAGCGGUGAAAUGCAUAGAUAUUACGAGGAACUCCGAUUGCGCAGGCAGCUUACUAAACUACUACUGACGCUCAGGCACGAAGGCGUGGGGAUCAAACAGGAUUAGAUACCCUGGUAGU
Molecule: ribosomal RNA, 271 nt
Filed under: uncultured prokaryote
Description: partial 16S ribosomal RNA
Rfam family: Bacterial small subunit ribosomal RNA
Source: RNAcentral